UUGAACGCUGGCGGCAUGCCUUACACAUGCAAGUCGAACGGCAGCGCGGACUUCGGUCUGGCGGCGAGUGGCGAACGGGUGAGUAAUACAUCGGAACGUACCCUGUUGUGGGGGAUAACUAGUCGAAAGAUUAGCUAAUACCGCAUACGACCUGAGGGUGAAAGUGGGGGACUGCAAGGCCUCACGCAGCAGGAGCGGCCGAUGUCUGAUUAGCUAGUUGGUGGGGUAAAGGCCCACCAAGGCGACGAUCAGUAGCUGGUCUGAGAGGACGAUCAGCCACACUGGGACUGAGACACGGCCCAGACUCCAACGGGAGGCAGCAGUGGGGAAUUUUGGACAAUGGGGGCAACCCUGAUCCAGCAAUGCCGCGUGUGUGAAGAAGGCCUUCGGGUUGUAAAGCACUUUUGUCCGGAAAGAAAUCGCGCUGGUUAAUACCUGGCGUGGAUGACGGUACCGGAAGAAUAAGCACCGGCUAACUACGUG
This 483-nucleotide ribosomal RNA is filed under the name uncultured bacterium. RNAcentral describes it as "partial 16S ribosomal RNA". It matches the Rfam family "Bacterial small subunit ribosomal RNA", at positions 30 to 507 of the family's 1533-position model. The record is from RNAcentral.